This is a long non-coding RNA of Carassius gibelio (silver crucian carp), 1529 nucleotides long. RefSeq lists it as uncharacterized. The transcript has 8 exons. NCBI's taxonomy places the organism in Eukaryota, Metazoa, Chordata, Actinopteri, Cypriniformes, Cyprinidae. The record is from RefSeq and is a predicted model, not a curated record.
ACGACUUUACACUUUCUAUUUGCGUGGAAUGCAUACGCCAAAUGCCAUUUUUGCUUGCAUAUGAUACGCCAAUCCUUCCCAUUAAUUUCGGUGGAGAGCAGAUGCGUCCAAAUAACACGCAUCAUCUUCAGCGGCAGUGACGUCACUAGCGAGGCUCGUUCAGUUCACCUGAUGCGCGUACACCUUCAAACAGUUACGUCGGAUUACAUACUCCACAACAACCUGUAAUCCAGCAGAUCUUUAAAGAAGCCAUCUCUUGUAAAAUCUCUCUCUCUCUCUCUCUCUCUCGCUCUGCUAGAAUUAACAGGGAACUUCAACUCCACGCUCCCAAUGCUGAUAUUGAAGAAGCUGUCAAGGGGGCUGAACAAGUCCUUCAAAGGAUCAACCCUUCACAGGAAGGCCUGUCAUGAGAUUUGAAUUUGACCAUCUUGUGCAUUUAUGAAGAAGACCAAAAGCUGCAAAGGCAAACACUUCCAAUGGCAGAAACUGAGAGUUUGCAUGAUGGCAUUUUCUCAGACGCUGAAUCUGAUGUGUACAGAUGAACUCAGGAGCCUACUAGAGUUGGCAAGGAACUUGUGCUUGAACUGAAGACCAGAAACGCAAAGAAAAUCAGUCAAACCAGUCCUAAAGAAAUGAGGAAUGAACAUGGACUUCUUGUGCCCCAAAAGAAAAGACAGAAAGCUCCUAAAAUGAGCAAAUAAGCUGUGCAUCAUCUCUGUGAUUUGGGAAGGAAAUGACUGAAUAUGAUGAAGCCAAUUGAUGAAGAUAUCAAUUGAAUGGCCACCGAGUGCAUCACUGCUACCUGAACCCAUCAGUUAUCUGCUGUGAAGACUGCAUUCACAAUCCGCUCUACUGCGACAGCUCAGAUGUUACGGCCUGUAAAAGUAAACAUCACAGCUAAACAACGAGAGCUAGUUGUGGUGGGAUUCUAUUGGCCAAUAUCCCCAACAAGAAUCAAUGACAUCUAGACCAGGUGGAGUGUGAGGAGGACCGUCAGAGACUCCAGCCAGCCGAGCCAUGGAUUGCUCUCACUGUUACCAUCAGGCAUGCGUUAUCACAGAACCUACACCAGCAGACAGUGAGACAAGUUCCUUUCACAGGCAAUCAGACUGAACUGAACUCAUACCAGUAAAACCAUACACACCCCACCAACCUCAUAUGCCCUGCACUCUUAUCAGUUAUGCUGACUGGACUCAAUAUUAUUAUGCACCCUGACAUUCUGUUUGCACUAAUUCAUACCGUGCUUUACUGCAGAGAUGUAUGUGUACUGUGAUUAUUAUUGUUUUCAAUUCAUGCUCUUUGUAUAGCAUAAUUUUUAACAUAUAUUGUUCUCUACCUGAAUUGAGUCCCUUAUAUAUGUGUGUUGCAUAUAUAUAUAUAUAUAUAUUCAGAAUUUGUAUUUCAUAUAUAUUCAUGAAUUAAUUCAUUUGUCAUCCAUACUGUCACGCUGCAGUCUGCACCCAAGACUUUCAUCACCUGUAUACUUGUGUUCAUUGUAUUGUGACAAUAAAGAUAUUUGAUUUAAAUUA